UAGAGUUUGAUCCUGGCUCAGAUUGAACGCUAGCGGAAUGCCUUACACAUGCAAGUCGAACGGCAGCACGGACUUCGGUCUGGUGGCGAGUGGCGAACGGGUGAGUAAUGUAUCGGAACGUGCCCAGUAGCGGGGGAUAACUACGCGAAAGCGUGNCUAAUACCGCAUACGCCCUACGGNGGAAAGGGGGGGAUCGCAAGACCUCUCACUAUUGGAGCGGCCGAUAUCGGAUUAGCUAGUUGGUGGGGUAAAGGCUCACCAAGGCGACGAUCCGUAGCUGGNUUGAGAGGACGACCAGCCACACUGGGACUGAGACACGGCCCAGAUCCUACGGGACGCAGCA
Molecule: ribosomal RNA, 343 nt
Filed under: uncultured bacterium
Lineage: Bacteria
Description: bacterial SSU rRNA
Rfam family: Bacterial small subunit ribosomal RNA
Source: RNAcentral